This 252-nucleotide ribosomal RNA is filed under the name uncultured bacterium. RNAcentral's name for it is "partial 16S ribosomal RNA". It matches the Rfam family "Bacterial small subunit ribosomal RNA", at positions 524 to 776 of the family's 1533-position model. The record is from RNAcentral.
UACGGAGGGUGCAAGCGUUAUCCGGAUUCACUGGGUUUAAAGGGUGCGUAGGUGGGCAGGUAAGUCAGUGGUGAACUCCUGUAGCUUAACUACAGAACUGCCAUUGAUACUAUUUGUCUUGAAUACCCUGGAGGUGAGCGGAAUAUGUCAUGUAGCGGUGAAAUGCUUAGAUAUGACAUAGAACAUCUAUUGCGAAGGCAGCUCACUACGGGAAUAUUGACGCUGAGGCACGAAAGCGUGGGAUCAAACAGG